Non-coding RNA from Acanthosepion pharaonis, 114 nucleotides. Lineage: Eukaryota; Metazoa; Mollusca; Cephalopoda; Sepiida; Sepiidae. The record is from the annotation of a GenBank genome assembly.
UUACGUCCACAUCACGUUGACAUACCGAUUUCCUUACGAUCAACAACGUUAAGCAACGUCGAUUCUGGUCAGUAUUGAGAUGGGUGACCGUUUGGGAAUACCAGGUGCUGUAAG